This 465-nucleotide ribosomal RNA is filed under the name uncultured bacterium. RNAcentral's name for it is "partial 16S ribosomal RNA". It matches the Rfam family "Bacterial small subunit ribosomal RNA", at positions 338 to 795 of the family's 1533-position model. The record is from RNAcentral.
CCUACGGGUGGCUGCAGUGGGGAAUAUUGCGCAAUGGGCGAAAGCCUGACGCAGCGACGCCGCGUGAGGGAUGAAGGUCUUCGGAUCAUAAAGCUCUGUCAGCAGGGAAGAACGGUCACUGUGCUAAUCAGCAGUGAAUUGACGGUACCUGCAAAGGAAGCACCGGCUAACUCCGUGCCAGCAGCCGCGGUAAGACGGAGGGUGCGAGCGUUAAUCGGAAUUACUGGGCGUAAAGCGCUCGUAGGCGGUAUGGCAAGGCCAGGGUGAAAUCUCCGGGCUCAACGUGGGAACUGCCUUUGAAACUGGCAAACUGGAGUGUGUGAGAGGAUAGUGGAAUUCCAGGUGUAGGAGUGAAAUCCGUAGAUAUCUGGAGGAACAUCAGUGGCGAAGGCGACUAUCUGGAACAUAACUGACGCUGAGGAGCGAAAGCGUGGGUAGCAAACAGGAUUAGAUACCCCAGUAGUC